This 253-nucleotide ribosomal RNA is filed under the name uncultured bacterium. RNAcentral's name for it is "partial 16S ribosomal RNA". It matches the Rfam family "Bacterial small subunit ribosomal RNA", at positions 524 to 776 of the family's 1533-position model. The record is from RNAcentral.
UACGUAGGGGGCAAGCGUUGUCCGGAUUUAUUGGGCGUAAAGAGCGUGUAGGCGGUUAUACAGGUCCGCUGUGAAAACUGGAGGCUUAACCUCCAGACGUCGGUGGAAACCGUAUGACUAGAGUCCGGAAGAGGAGAGUGGAAUUCCUGGUGUAGCGGUGAAAUGCGCAGAUAUCAGGAAGAACACCCGUGGCGAAGGCGGUUCUCUGGGACGGUACUGACGCUGAGACGCGAAAGCGUGGGGAGCGAACAGG